UGUGAAUGCUCUGUAAAAGAUC
RNAcentral lists this non-coding RNA (22 nucleotides) under Arabidopsis thaliana (thale cress). The record is from RNAcentral. Lineage: Eukaryota; Viridiplantae; Streptophyta; Magnoliopsida; Brassicales; Brassicaceae.